This 218-nucleotide non-coding RNA is filed under the name Pseudoxanthomonas dokdonensis. The record is from RNAcentral. Lineage: Bacteria; Pseudomonadati; Pseudomonadota; Gammaproteobacteria; Lysobacterales; Lysobacteraceae.
CACUAUCUUGUGGCCGUCGGUUCCGUUGGCUGAUGGCCAAGGGAUUAAUAGGGAAGCUGGUGACGCCUCGCGCUAGUCCAGCACUGCCCCGCAGCGGUAAGUGGAAACGAACUCGCCAAUGGCACUGGGACACAGGUUCCCGGGAAGCGGCGAGCCAGGCCGGAAGCAUCGCUUCCAUGUCCACGAGUCCGAAGACCUGCCGACAGCCACGCGAAGCA